CCUACGGGGGGCAGCAGUGAGGAAUAUUGGUCAAUGGGCGGGAGCCUGAACCAGCCAAGUCGCGUGAGGGAAGAAGGUACUUUGUAUUGUAAACUUCUUUUGUCGGGGAACAAAAGCGGAGACGCGUCUCCGUAUGAGUGUACCCGAAGAAAAAGCAUCGGCUAACUCCGUGCCAGCAGCCGCGGUAAUACGGAGGAUGCGAGCGUUAUCCGGAUUUAUUGGGUUUAAAGGGUGCGCAGGCGGGAGAUCAAGUCAGCGGUAAAAUUGAGGGGCUCAACCCCUGCCGGCCGUUGAAACUGGUUUUCUUGAGUGGGAGAGAAGUAUGCGGAAUUCGUGGUGUAGCGGUGAAACGCAUAGAUAUCACGAAGAACUCCGAUUGCGAAGGCAGCAUACCGACUCCAUACUGACGCUGAGGCACGAAAGCGUGGGGAUCGAACAGGAUUAGAUACCCGGGUAGUC
Molecule: ribosomal RNA, 459 nt
Filed under: uncultured bacterium
Lineage: Bacteria
Description: partial 16S ribosomal RNA
Rfam family: Bacterial small subunit ribosomal RNA
Source: RNAcentral